This 205-nucleotide long non-coding RNA is filed under the name Elaeis guineensis (African oil palm). Its description in RNAcentral is "long non-coding RNA (EGUI_LNC058224)". The record is from RNAcentral. Lineage: Eukaryota; Viridiplantae; Streptophyta; Magnoliopsida; Arecales; Arecaceae.
UCAAGGAGGAGAAUACUUGUCUAGUGAGUUUCUUGAUUAUUUAAAAUAAAAUAGAAUACUCUCUCAAUAAAUAUCUCCUUAUACUCCAUAAUUAAAUAAAAUUACAGAAAGGAGGAAUCAUACCUUAUUAGAUAUGGUCCAAUCCAUGAUGUGUUUCACGGACCUUCCGAUAUCUUUCUGGGGAUAUGCUCUCGAGGCCAUAGUG